AUUCCAGCUCCAAUAGCGUAUAUUAAAGUUGUUGCGGUUAAAAAGCUCGUAGUUGGAUUUCUGCCGAGGACGACCGGUCCGCCCUCUGGGUGAGUAUCUGGCUCGGCCUGGGCAUCUUCUUGGAGAACGUAUCUGCACUUGACUGUGUGGUGCGGUAUCCAGGACUUUUACUUUGAGGAAAUUAGAGUGUUUCAAGCAGGCUUACGCCUUGAAUACAUUAGCAUGGAAUAAUAAGAUAGGACCUCGGUUCUAUUUUGUUGGUUUCUAGGACCGAAGUAAUGAUUAAUAGGGACAGUUGGGGGCAUUAGUAUUUAAUUGUCAGGGGUGAAAUUCUUGGAUUUAUGAAAGACUAACUACUGCGAAAGCAUUUGCCAAGGAUGUUUUCAUCA
Molecule: ribosomal RNA, 389 nt
Filed under: Prorocentrum sp.
Lineage: Eukaryota; Dinophyceae; Prorocentrales; Prorocentraceae
Description: partial small subunit ribosomal RNA
Rfam family: Eukaryotic small subunit ribosomal RNA
Source: RNAcentral